RNAcentral lists this ribosomal RNA (500 nucleotides) under uncultured archaeon. Its description in RNAcentral is "bacterial SSU rRNA". It matches the Rfam family "Archaeal small subunit ribosomal RNA", at positions 857 to 1357 of the family's 1478-position model. The record is from RNAcentral.
AUUAGGAAUUGGCGGGGGAGCACCGCAACGGGAGGAGCGUGCGGUUCAAUUGGAUUCAACGCCGGACAACUCACCAGGAGCGACGGUUACAUGAAGGCCAGGCUGAUGACCUUGCCUGAUUUUCCGAGAGGUGGUGCAUGGCCGUCGUCGGUUCGUACCGUAAGGCGUUCUCUUAAGUGAGAUAACGAACGAGACCCUCACCGCUAAUUGCUAGUGUUCUCUCCGGAGGGCACGCACAUUAACGGGACCGCUGUCGCUAAGACAGAGGAAGGAGAGGUCAACGGUAGGUCCGUAUGCCCCGAAUCUCCUGGGCUACACGCGCGCUACAAAGGUUGGGACAAUGGGCUCCGACAUCGAAAGGUGAAGGCAAUCUCGAAACCCAAUCGUAGUUCGGAUUGAGGGUUGUAACUCACCCUCAUGAAGCUGGAUUCCGUAGUAAUCGCUUGUCAACAUCAAGCGGUGAAUAUGCCCCUGCUCCUUGCACCACACCGCCCGUCAAU